Molecule: ribosomal RNA, 253 nt
Filed under: uncultured bacterium
Lineage: Bacteria
Description: partial 16S ribosomal RNA
Rfam family: Bacterial small subunit ribosomal RNA
Source: RNAcentral
UACGUAGGGCGCAAGCGUUAUCCGGAAUUAUUGGGCGUAAAGAGCUCGUAGGCGGUUUGUUGCGUCGGCUGUGAAAUCCCGAGGCUCAACCUCGGGUCUGCAGUCGAUACGAGCAAACUAGAGUGUUGCAGGGGAGACUGGAAUUCCUGGUGUAGCGGUGAAAUGCGCAGAUAUCAGGAGGAACACCGAUGGCGAAGGCAGGUCUCUGGGCCGAUACUGACGCUGAGGAGCGAAAGCGUGGGGAGCGAACAGG